RNAcentral lists this long non-coding RNA (271 nucleotides) under Ananas comosus (pineapple). RNAcentral's name for it is "long non-coding RNA (ACOM_LNC006156)". The record is from RNAcentral. Lineage: Eukaryota; Viridiplantae; Streptophyta; Magnoliopsida; Poales; Bromeliaceae.
UUCACAAGUUUGAUUGAGUAUUAGGAAGAGAAUGAUUGUAUUGUGUGAUAUUUAAAAAACUAAUAGUGUUUAUUGAAUUUAUUGGGAUUCACAGAACUGCAUUACGUGUGAUGAGAAUAUACAAUGCGAAAAUAUUUUAUUUCUUUUUACAUAAUGAUAUAUUUUGCAUAUUGUAAUAAAACGGUUAUAAGAGUUCGUUUCAUUUACUUUUAUAAAUACGAUCGUUUAAUUCCCAUAAGUUGUCUCUGUAAUUUAGUUUCUAUUUAUAAUA